AUUGAUUGUUUUUCAAUUUAAUCUCCAAGUGGGAGAAUGUCAAAAUUGGCUGCAUCUAGAAGCUUUGACAAGAAUGGUUGGCAUGGCUGCAUCUAGAAGCUUUGACAAGAAUGGUUGGCACUUGGUUUUGAAUUCUAGAUGCCGUAAUGUUUGGUAUUAGAAAAGAAAAAUUCAAAGUUUGAAAUUUGUAAGUUGUAUGGCUUGAGGUUUUGGCCACGUGUUUGACAUUUGAG
RNAcentral lists this long non-coding RNA (233 nucleotides) under Citrus maxima (pomelo). RNAcentral's name for it is "long non-coding RNA (CMAX_LNC003763)". The record is from RNAcentral. Lineage: Eukaryota; Viridiplantae; Streptophyta; Magnoliopsida; Sapindales; Rutaceae.